This 29-nucleotide non-coding RNA is filed under the name Rattus norvegicus (Norway rat). The record is from RNAcentral. Lineage: Eukaryota; Metazoa; Chordata; Mammalia; Rodentia; Muridae.
UUGGACAGAUUGUGUUCACUCUUUUCCAG